Molecule: long non-coding RNA, 2176 nt
Organism: Adelges cooleyi (spruce gall adelgid)
Lineage: Eukaryota; Metazoa; Arthropoda; Insecta; Hemiptera; Adelgidae
Exons: 9
Source: RefSeq, a predicted model, not a curated record
GCUAUAAUAUUACUGUAGGAUUGAACUUCACAAGGCACCCACCAGUAUUGUAAUUAUUUUUCUUAGAAAACAAAUGACUAAAUGUAUAAUAUUCAUCAUACUUACACAGUAGACAGUAGUUCUUCUACAGUUCUUGCUAUUAGUACUUUUCUAUGUAAAUCAAUUGUAUUAGUGUCGUGUAAAAAUGAUUGGAUAUCGACUCAAAAACAAAGAUGGAAAACCUGCGUACGGAGUAGAAGAUUCAAAUUUUGAAUUGACCUUUUAUUCAACUUUUGUUUACAAGCCAUAAACGUCACUGGAUUUACAAGGUAAUUAGGGCCUGAUUACAAAGUAUCGUAACUUAAUGUAUGUCUACAUGAGAAAUUUCAAACAUCAAUACUUGCGGGAUUAACUGAAAGCAGAAAGAGUACUUGAGUAUCACAGUGCUUAAUGUCAAUACGAGGAAGCAAUCAUCAUAUUAGUACCUCGCAAAAUGAGUGCCAAGACAUUGGCAAGCUGUGGAGCACGAGAAACAAAGAAACCAAUUUCAGUCAACUGUUGGCUGUUCAAAAAGAUCGUAUAACUGCUCUGAACCUAAUACAAAAAUUAAGGUAUUUUGUUGAAUGAAACGAUAAGUAAUCUCUUAUUCUUACUAGUCAACUGUUCGGCAAAGUAAACUAGAGAAGUUUAUUGACAGAUAUUUAAAUGGGUAUUUUGAAAAAAAGUUGAAAAAACGGCCAACAUUACAGCUAGUUUACUAUCUGCAACAACGAACAUUUUACAACUUCAAAUUUGUUUUAAAUUUUAAGUAGAGUGAUAACGCUGAUGACAAUAUCACAAAGAAGAUUGUAUCCAACUAAAUAAUUUUUCUUGAGAGGAUAAAACUGUUUCCUGUUCUGAUGCAUGGAUGAAAAAGAUAAACGAUUAUAAGCGCCCUUGACCUGCUCGGAGAACUUUUGUAUACGUUUUUUUUACCAACAUCUGUUAAAACAUUAUUUAUGGAAUCGUUAAUGUUUAUACAGCGUUUGCUGGACAAAGAGCCAUACGAGCUGGAAGUGAGCGACCUGGAUACAAGUAUGAUAAACUAUGUCUUUUAUGACUUAGAAAACAUUUAUUACCAAAUAGUGGUGUCACUGUAAUUAUUCAACUACAACAAAUUAUGCAAAGCGUAAAAGAUACGUGUUUAUUUGUUAAACACGAUGAAAUAGUUUAAAAUGCCAUUUAAUUUGUGCAAAGAGUAUAUCUUCAUUGCUUUAAAGAUGGACUCUACAAUGGCUCCGUGAUGUCAUAUAAAAAGACAUGGAUAUGUCCUAAAUUAUAGAGUUCUCUUUCAAUUGGAAACACAAGAAUCAUCCUUAAAUGCAAUGUGUGCAUAAAUCUGUCGGUGCUGAUGAAGAUCUAUUAGUUCUCCCCCGAUCAAUUUUCACCUAUGUUAAUCGAUCGCAUUUGUACGCAGAGAUAAAAUAUGAUAAUUACCGACUGUUAAUUUUAAUUAAUUUACAUUACGACAUUAACAAUUUUGAUGAAUUGUUGUGUUUUUUAAACAUUUAGACAAAUCAUGUUUUUAAAAAAAUGUAUAAAGUAAACUGGUUUAAGACCCAAACUCUUAUUUAACAGAACCUUAUUUCCAUUGUCGCAAUCUAAUAUGAAUGUACAAUUUAUUUUAGGUACUUAUUUGUGUGUUAAAUAUGUUAUUGAAUAUACUGGUAAAAGCCAACGUGGUAUACCAAACUUGUUUUACGAUCUGUGUUAAAUUUUCUAUUUUGCUUUAACAACUUUACCUAUCAAGUAAUAUUAAAUUUUUGUCGUGUCGUUUAUGCUAACAAACAAAAUUAUUUUUUUACUGUUGAAGAAUUAUUGUACUUUUGCAUUGUUACCAUCGAUUUAUUAAUGUAUUUAGUUUAUAACAUGUGCCAUUUAAAAUUUAAAGGGGAAUAUAUUCUAAUAAAGCAAAACUAGUUUUAAUGUUAUAGUUGAAUUUAAUACAAUUAAGUAUUUAACUGAUUUUUGAACAGUCCUUAUUACUAGAUACGGCUUUACACUAUUUUUCCACCCCAACAUUGUUUAGUCAUGUACUUGUAUUAUAUGAAUCAUCUCUGACAUUAACUGUUAAUAGCAUUCAGUUUUGUAAAAAAAAAAAUUGUAUUUAAAUUGCUCAUUAUCAUAGAUGUAAUUAUUGAAAGGUUAUAAUCUUCUA